GGCUUAUGAUGUUGGAGGAUAUGUUAAAGUACGGAGGAGGUGCAAAGGUUGGGUGAGUGGGCAGUGAAUUGAGGCCAGAGGAGGUCAUUGCAGUACUGGGAACUGGUAUGGGGGGAAAAAACCCCAACAUAUUUGAAAGCAUCUGAUUUUACCAGUUCUUCCAUGAGUUUCCUGCAGUCUCAACCUUGAUGCAAGCUCCCAGUAAAGAUGCCCCCACCACCGCACGUUGGGACUGGCAGGUUAAAGGGUACCUCUGAUAGCAUCACUCUGCACAGCACUUGAGGUGUCAGUAGAAGAAGCUUCAAGAGUAACGUAAGGAGGAAAAAAAAUCUAGGAAUUUUUAGUGGAAGAGAGCGGAAUCAAAAUCAAAGGAAACUGCAAGGUUCAGACAGAUGGAAAUAGAGAACUGUGUCCAUUCCUAAUUGCAGCAAUCAAAAGAGGAUGAAUGAAGAAGAUCAUUUUGCCUCUGAGGAUGGCUGAGUUUAUGUUUUUCUUGAAUUCAAACACUGAUAGUGAAGAAAAAUGAGUAAAGGAAAAAACUGAAGAAAAAUUCAUUAAGAAAAAUACCCGAAGAAUCAAUCACUUCACAUUGUUUCCUAAUCUUUUCCUUAGAAAACAGUAUGGUUCACAUUUUUUUAAAAAAAAUGGAAGGAAAAUGCAUUGUAUUAAAAGUGUCUUCCAUGAG
This is a long non-coding RNA of Hemicordylus capensis (graceful crag lizard), 685 nucleotides long. RefSeq lists it as uncharacterized. NCBI's taxonomy places the organism in Eukaryota, Metazoa, Chordata, Lepidosauria, Squamata, Cordylidae. The record is from RefSeq and is a predicted model, not a curated record. The transcript has 3 exons.